Molecule: long non-coding RNA, 984 nt
Organism: Homo sapiens (human)
Lineage: Eukaryota; Metazoa; Chordata; Mammalia; Primates; Hominidae
Gene: RPL23AP7
Product: ribosomal protein L23a pseudogene 7
Source: Ensembl
GCAGGGAGUGCGCAUGCGGCCGAGUGCGGGACUGGGGCUCCUGGCUGUGGGUGUGGUACCGAGGCUUCAGCGGGUGCCGCCCGCCUAGAGGGAGUGGAGCGGUGAGCACGUCAGGGGUGGGGGGCGCAGGUCAAGCUUUCACCAGUUUUUAAUUCUUUGAUGGGGUAAAUUUGAGCAAUUUUCUCGACUUGUCGACAUUCGUUAUUAACUGAGCAGGAAUCAGGAGAGGAACCCGGUCCUCUCCACACAGCCCAGCAGAGAGCCUACGACUAGAUUUGCAUCUUUACGUCCUGCGCGGAGGCUGCUACACACAUGCAGAAGUCAUGCUGGUGGCCUGGACAGUGAAGGGAGAGAAGUGGAUUUGGGAGACAUUUAGGAGGAACAGUAAGAGGACCUUGUGCAUGAAUAAUUUGUUUCCACACUACAGAGUGGGUAAUAAGCAGAUUAGUAAAAACAAUUCUGCUUCACUUCAAUAACAGCCUCCUCCAACUCAUUUUUUCUCAACAAACUUAUUUUUCCAGCAGAAGAAUCCCAGACUUCUUAGAGAACCCAGUGACUUUUUGCACCUUAAAUCUGUGAAAUCCUCAUGUUUUCUUCUGCCGUAUCCAUAGUUCAAACAAAGAUGAGGCAAAGCUAGAUGCAUUCCUGAAGGAACCCAAGAAAUUCCUCUCUUUAUUUCUCUGGAAUGAAAUGAAUUCUCUAGACCACCAGUUCUAACCUUCAAAAACCAAACCUGUUUGUGAGAUCUCCUUCAAAUACUACUGUAGACCCCAGUGUUUAUUCAUUAAAUUUUUAAAAUAUUUGUUUUAUUUGGAAUCCAUGUAUUUGUAAUUUUAGUGUUUGUAUUAAUAUAAGGGAGAAAUGUUUAAAUCUGUCUAUGCCAUAUGUGCCUCUGGCUUAUUGCCCAAUUAAUUGUAGACUCAGGCUAAACUUUGGUUUCUGUCUUUAAUUUUUGUCAGAAGAAAUAUAACUGAUCUCAAAACA